AGUGAAGCGGCAACAGCUCAAAUUUGAAAUCUGGCGUCUUUGGCGUCCGAGUUGUAAUUUGCAGAGGGCGCUUUGGCAUUGGCAGCGGUCCAAGUUCCUUGGAACAGGACGUCACAGAGGGUGAGAAUCCCGUACGUGGUCGCUAGCCUUUACCGUGUAAAGCCCCUUCGACGAGUCGAGUUGUUUGGGAAUGCAGCUCUAAAUGGGAGGUAAAUUUCUUCUAAAGCUAAAUACUGGCCAGAGACCGAUAGCGCACAAGUAGAGUGAUCGAAAGAUGAAAAGCACUUUGGAAAGAGAGUUAAAAAGCACGUGAAAUUGUUGAAAGGGAAGCGCUUGCAGCCAGACUUGCCUGUAGUUGCUCAUCCGGGUUUCUACCCGGUGCACUCUUCUACGGGCAGGCCAGCAUCAGUUUGGGCGGUUGGAUAAAGGUCUCUGUCAUGUACCUCCUCUCGGGGAGAUCUUAUAGGGGAGACGACAUGCAACCAGCCUGGACUGAGGUCCGCGCAUCUGCUAGGAUGCUGGCGUAAUGGCUGUAAGCGGCCCGUCUUGAAACACGGACCAAGGAGUCUAACAUCUAUGCGAGUGUUUGGGUGUCAAGCCCGAGCGCGUAAUGAAAGUGAACGGAGGUGGGAACCUUUCGGGGUGCACCAUCGACCGAUCCUGAUGUCUUCGGAUGGAUUUGAGUAAGAGCAUAGCUGUUGGGACCCGAAAGAUGGUGAACUAUGCUUGAAUAGGGUGAAGCCAGAGGAAACUCUGGUGGAGGCUCGCAGCGGUUCUGACGUGCAAAUCGA
RNAcentral lists this ribosomal RNA (791 nucleotides) under Epicoccum sp. RNAcentral describes it as "partial large subunit ribosomal RNA". It matches the Rfam family "Eukaryotic large subunit ribosomal RNA", at positions 92 to 901 of the family's 3401-position model. Lineage: Eukaryota; Fungi; Ascomycota; Dothideomycetes; Pleosporales; Didymellaceae. The record is from RNAcentral.